Molecule: long non-coding RNA, 346 nt
Organism: Pseudophryne corroboree (corroboree frog)
Lineage: Eukaryota; Metazoa; Chordata; Amphibia; Anura; Myobatrachidae
Exons: 3
Source: RefSeq, a predicted model, not a curated record
UGUGAUCCAACUGACCGGCUGUAAGGAAGGAUCUGUGGUAGACAGAGGGCUGACAGAGGGAUUAUGACAGGAGAGAAACGUGCUAUAGGCACUGCAGCUGAGACUGAACAUUGCAUGAUCAGACAAAAGUAACCUGUUAGGAAUUACCAAAUAUCAAAGGGAUCCACACCAUAUAAGUAAGGCUACAUCUUUCCCUGUGUCCUGUGUUCUGCUGAUUUACAGGAAGAAACCAGAGCACUCGGAGGAAACCCACACAACACAGGGAGAAUAUACAAACUCCACACAGUUAGGGCCAUGUUGGGAAUUGAACCCAUGACCUCAGUGCUGUCAGACAGUAAUGCUUACC